UUAGAUGUAGUACUCGGCCU
This 20-nucleotide microRNA is filed under the name Spodoptera frugiperda (fall armyworm). RNAcentral describes it as "sfr-miR-10513-3p". Lineage: Eukaryota; Metazoa; Arthropoda; Insecta; Lepidoptera; Noctuidae. The record is from miRBase by way of RNAcentral.